CCCUUAGAUGUUCGGGGCCGCACGCGCGCUACACUGAAGGAAUCAGCACGUCUUUCUCCUUGUCCGAAAGGACUGGGUAACCCGCUGAACCUCCUUCGUGCUAGGGAUUGGGGCUUGUAAUUCUUCCCCAUGAACGAGGAAUUCCCAGUAAGCGCGAGUCAUAAGCUCGCGUUGAUUACGUCCCUGCCCUUUGUACACACCGCCCGUCGCUACUACCGAUUGAAUGGUUUAGUGAGAUCUUCGGAUUGGCGCCUACGCGGCUUCUCUGAGGCCACGCUGGAUGCCGAAAAGUUGCUCAAACUGUAUCAUUUAGAGGAAGUAAAAGUCGUAACA
Molecule: ribosomal RNA, 333 nt
Filed under: uncultured eukaryote
Lineage: Eukaryota
Description: partial 18S ribosomal RNA
Rfam family: Eukaryotic small subunit ribosomal RNA
Source: RNAcentral